ACUUUUGUAUCAGCAAUGCAGACAAGCUAGGAUGAGGGGGGCUUUCUCUGCUCCACGAUGUUUGGAUCCUUGGCUGGGAUGUCACAAAUAGUGGUGGCUCAACUGGGAUCACACACCUCAGGCCUCUGUGGUCACUGGCGGCCUGGUUACUUGGGUCAUCCCUGUCCACACGGCUUGUGUGAGCUUCCUCAUGGCAUGGCAGCCACAGAGUGGCUGGAGUUCUUACAUAGUGCCUGGCUUUCCCCAGAGAGAAAGCAAAAGCUGUUGGACCUCUUAUAGACUGUGACUGGAAUCAUCAUAGUGACCCGUUACCACCUUCUCUUGUUCAAGGCCUUAAAGAGAAGAAGAGAUGGAGUUAAGUGAGAAAAAUAUCGCUAUGUGGAGAGUAAAGUGAAUAUUCCAAAAAGUGAAUUCAGAGGAUCAAACUCCAGGAGCCUUCGGAUGUCUGAUUAUUGGAUCAUGCUGUCUGGCUGCAUAAGAUGUAUCCACGAUAUUUACUUGGUGCCCACAAUAUUCCAGGAUUGUCCUAGUUGCUUAUAUGUAUUUGUUCUAAUUUUAUUGGUGUGUAAAGGAGCCCUUGCCAUC
Molecule: long non-coding RNA, 585 nt
Organism: Pongo pygmaeus (Bornean orangutan)
Lineage: Eukaryota; Metazoa; Chordata; Mammalia; Primates; Hominidae
Exons: 3
Source: RefSeq, a predicted model, not a curated record